GUACAGUACUGUGAUAACUGAAGGA
This 25-nucleotide microRNA is filed under the name Eptesicus fuscus (big brown bat). Its description in RNAcentral is "efu-miR-101". Its record names the gene efu-miR-101. Lineage: Eukaryota; Metazoa; Chordata; Mammalia; Chiroptera; Vespertilionidae. The record is from miRBase by way of RNAcentral.